GAAGCAGGGAAGGAGGGCCAGGGCAGCAGCAGAAAUAAGUGAGACUCAGCGGUGCCCUGCACCUCCUGGCUAAGGAGAUUGGUUCAUCGACUCAUGAGGGCAGACCAGCGGCCAGUUGAUACCACACCCACAUGGCAUUGACACCUCCAUCGAAAACAAAGCGUGUGCACACUGAGCAUAGUGAUCAAGCAUGAAGAUCCUGGAGACUUCAUGUUGUACAGAGUUAACUCCAGUUCCCUCCCUUGCUGCUUAACCACAGGCCAAGUGACUGACAACAUAAUGGCAAAACCUGAAGCGAAAUUGCCAAGGUAUU
RNAcentral lists this long non-coding RNA (313 nucleotides) under Callithrix jacchus (white-tufted-ear marmoset). Its description in RNAcentral is "lncRNA (ENSCJAG00000059705.2)". The record is from RNAcentral. Lineage: Eukaryota; Metazoa; Chordata; Mammalia; Primates; Cebidae.